This is a long non-coding RNA of Cavia porcellus (domestic guinea pig), 7331 nucleotides long. RefSeq lists it as uncharacterized. Lineage: Eukaryota; Metazoa; Chordata; Mammalia; Rodentia; Caviidae. The record is from RefSeq and is a predicted model, not a curated record. The transcript is spliced from 3 exons.
GUGACACGUUUCGCAUGAGGAAAGAGAGCCUCUUGCACUGAGGCUGCCUAAUUGACAGUCAGUGGCUCCAUACAGAGUGGCACUGGGCGGGGAGGGAGCGGGCCAGAGCGGCUCCCCUCAGCUCCUGUCUGCCCUCUGGCCCCAGGCAGGCCUUCAGCAGCUGAGGCAUUCUCAGCAGAGCUGUCUGCAGGGCAGGACAGCCUUGACUCCGGGUGCCUUCAGAGUCUCCCAGCCUCGGCCUCUCCAGCCCCGUCAUGCAGGUUCCUGGAAGCCGGACUUUGUACUCGCUGAGCAGUCACGGCUACCCUGCUCCUCUCAGGACUCCAGCACCAAGCACUCGGUAGAUUCCCGGCAAGUGUUUAUGGGAUGUGUCAAAGGCGGGGAUUUGGAAGGAAGUCUGCUGUGUCAGGGUUGGCCAUUCCUCUUGGCAGAGGUCUGGAGGUGAGCGGGAGGCUUCCAGGAACUGGGUUGAAUCUCUAAGGUCACCAUCCACUGGCUGGCUUGCAGGAGAUAUUUCUGGGGCGGGGACGCUCUGGUAGUUAUUCGGGCAGCAUUAGGCAUCCUUCGGAGCACAGCAAGUGUGAUGCGCUUGUGUCACAGUCCCCAGGGGCUUGUACUUCACAGUCAUCCCUGGGAGUCUGGUGCAGUGGGUCUGAAGACCACACCUGGACAAACACUUCUGAGAAGCAGGGGAGCUGGGGGCCCUGGUCAUGGGACAUCUCAGUAGAAGCAAGGCGUGCAUGUAUUUAUGUGUUGGAGGGGUGGUGGCUGGAGCCCUGGCAAUGACAAGGAAUCUAAAGCCUAUUAUUUCUAUUCAGGAACCUCAUUCUACAUAUGUACUUCUGGCUACCUGUGGGCAAAAUCCAAAAGUGAGGCUAGCCUUCUGGGAACCAGUUCCAGGACCUUGGAAGAAGAGGAAGACACCACCAGAUGUGAGGAGGAAAAGGAGCCCUCCCUGCCCCAUGCCCAGGGGCCUCUGUUCCCUCCACCCACUGAAGGGCCUGCAGCUGUGAAACCAAUGCUACCACCUCCUCCCACUCUCUUUACACCGCGGGAACCCCAGUCUUCGUGCUCAAACAAUCCACACUCGUCUGCCUCAGAAGCGUCCUCAUGCACGCUGAUCCUUCGUCUGCAGUGCUCUCUGCCUUCUCCCAUCUUCUUCCUCUGGUGGCUCCUCUCUCCCCUUGUACACCUUCCAGACUUGCUGCUCUGUGUAUACCAUUUGCAGCAUUCAGUACUCUCGUCAUUAUAUAUUCCUUGUCUGUCUUCCCUACUGGACUGUGAACUCCACGAUAAGAGGGCCACACCUGUGUGUCCUGUCCUCUGCUGUGUUCCUGUGGCUACCGCCCAUGGUGCAUGCCACCUGGCAAGCACUCAGGUGGGAAGACAAAACUUAGACAAACUCAUGUGUUUUAACACAUGUAGGCUUGUACUCUGUUAGGCCCCAAGCCUGGAGGGGGAGGCGGGAGGGAGACACCCUUCCUCCCCUCACGGGACGGGGGCGGCUAGGAUGUAGGGGUAGGAUCAUCACCACCAAUCAUCAUAUCAGUUCAUGUAAAAGAGCAACUGUGAUGAGUGCUGUAAAAGAGAGGCUCAGGGCCAACAGAGAGCACAGGGAAAGACUGAAGAAGUAAGGAGGCUGUGAUGUUUACAUAGGAAAUGUCUCCCAAAGACUCCUGUGUUGAAGGUACAAUCCCCAGCGUAGCAGUGCCCAGAGGGGCCUAGAAAGGUGAUUGGGCAAUAAAAGCACUGACCUCAUUAAUCUAUUAAUGAGCUCAUUGUUGAAUGGGCUGUUAGAAGCUGGGCUUUGUUGGAGGAAGUAGGUCACUGGGGUAGGCCUUUGAAGAAAAUUUCUCUUCUCAGGCUUUUUUGUUUUUUCUCUGCUUCCUGGUUGCCAUGAGGCGAGCAGAUUUCCUCCCUCAUUCCCUUUCUGUCAUCAUGCUUCUACUCUGAAGCUUUCCAACUAUGGAAACUGUGAGUCAAAAUUAACCUUGCGGCCUUUAAAUUGAGAAUGUUACAAAAAGCUGACAAACUAAGAGAUCAGGAGAUGCUUCCUUAGAAGAUACAAUUUGCCUCAAAUGGAGAAGGUUGCACAGAGCAACAGUGAGAGGAAGAACAUUCUGGAUGUAGGGAGUAGCAUGCGCAAAGGCCCUGAGGCAGCAGGGAACGUGGCUUCUAUAAGGAAUAAAAGCCUGAAAGAACUGAAAUGUGUGGAGUGAGUGGGGAGCCUAGAAGCAGGCAGAGGCCAGAUCAUGCAGGGCCUUGUCAACUAAGGUAAGGAAUUUGUGUCUUUAUCUAAAAGCAAACGAUUUAAACACUGAAGAAUUUCAAUAGCAGAAUGGUGGGCAACUGCAGCAUUGAUAUGAUCAGAAUUGCAUUUUAAAAAGGUCACUCGGGCUUUCCUGUGGAAAAGAGGGGAAGGACGCAAGAAGAGGGAAAAAGAUCAGCCGGUGGUGCACUGCAGCCACCCAGGCCUGGCCCAUGGUGGUAAAGGUCUAGAGCCGUGAAGAGUUUUGAGAGAAUAUUUUCAAGCCACAUCACAGCUUGGUAGCAAAACCAGGACCAGCACCUGCCCCCGUCCUUUGCACCUGUCUGCAGCUGCUGGCCUUCCGUCAUGGGCCCACCGUAAGGAGGUGUUCCCAGGCUUCCUCCCGAAGUGCCCCUGCUUUUACCCAGUCUCUGUGCCUGUAUUCUGUGCUGUGUCCUUGGGGAUGCCUACAUGUGUUUUCAAGGCUGGAAGGCACUGGCUGGCCCUCCUAGGGGGUGGCUUUUUCUUAUCACAGGUGCUUUGCAUGCUGGGAAUUGUAGUUCUGGAGCUGGAAACCUGGGCCUGCUCCUGACUGUGGAUCUGGCAGGCAGCCUGGUUGCCAUGGCAGCAGCUGGGCUGGAGCCAUCCAACCAUUUCAUCCACAGCUCUGUUGGCUCUGAGAGCUCCCAGCAAGAAAGCUUGGGCUCUGGAGAGGAGGCGGAGGAGGAAGAAGGGGGGAUGAGGGAGGAAGGACCCUUUGGGGUCGUCCUCAGAGCUCUGAGCUAAGCCUCACUCUGCUCUGGGGCUUGUGUACUGACUUGAGAGUAGUCACGGGUUCAUCCCCCCCAGAGUGUGGCUCCCUAGCACUGAUCACCUUGGCUGCUCUGUGUGUGCCAAGCAGCCCCUGUAGGUCCAGUUCUGUGAACGCAGAAGUCUGCACUAGACACAGAGAAAAGGGCCAGCCCUCCUCCCCAGGGACCUCAGAGCCUGCAUAGGAAAUAGGUCCAAGAGAAUGACCUGAAAGGAAAAGCUCUGUCCACUUCCCCUCUGAAAUGUCCCUAGAACCCAUUCCCUUCCUUCUGCUCCUUGGCCACAGUCCUAGCUCAUUCAAUCUGCCCCCUGGAGAAGGCUUUCUAAAAUGCAAAUCUGGUCCUGUCACACUCCUGCUUAAAAUUCUUCAAUGGCUCCCCUUUGCCCACGACUGGAUCAAGUCCAAACUCUCUAGUAGGACCAUUCAUGGCCUUUCAGAGUCUGGCUUAAGUCUCCCCCCUGCCCAGAGAUCCUCCUGCGUCCCCGUCUGCUGCAGCCACCCAGAAGUUUCCUGGUUCCUCCUUCAUCGCUCUACCCCGGCACAGGGCCACUUCUCUCCAAUCCUACCCAGCAAACCCAGCUGAGCUCCACCUACUUGGUGAAAUCCUCCAAACUUCUUCUUCACCAGGGGAGGAAUGAAUGGCCUGCUGCUCAGAGCUCCCAGAACACUUUGUACAUUAUUUGCAAGUACUUAUCACCCGCCUUGUGAUUAUUGUCUCUAUAGCUCCGCCCGCCCCCCUGCCUGCUGCAUCUCAGCCAUCCUGGAGUCCCCAGUGCCCAGCACAGCAUCUGGCACAAGGUAGACAUUCCAUAAAUGGUGAGUGGCAUUGAACUUACCAAAAGAAGGCUAUUUGGGCCUUUACUGCUUUCUUCUCCCCUUCGCUGGACCCUAUUCCAUUGCCAUUUCUUCCCUGUUCUCCCUUGGGGCCCUGUACACCUUGAGCACUGAAGGCAGACCUGAUCCACUGGUGCCUUCUCUUCUGGGCAGGGUUGGUACAGCCACCUGCAUACAAAGGCUGUAAGCCUCUUCACACCACUUGGGAAUUUGUAUCAACUCUUACCUGGGUCUCUAGAGAGGAAGUACCCUGUCUUCAGUGGAGCCAUGAUUUAUGGACCCUGCUCCAAGAGCUGAAAAAACUAAUUAGGCUUCCCUGCUUCUCUACCUGGAGGCAAAAUAAUUCCAGGAAAAUCUUUCCUCCUGGACAGAGAUCUAUCUGCUCCAGCCUUAGCUCUGAGGCAUCCCCAUCCAGGCUUGCACCUCUAUGGACUAUGCUCUGGUCAGGAGCUCUGAGCUCCCUGGGCCAGCUUUCAUGCAGAAAACCAUGACUACUCAACACAUUGCAGGUCUUUCCUAGGUUCCCAUUCUUUCUAAAUCUCAUACUAGGAUAAAAAAAAAUCCUUGCCUGUCUAGAUCAUUUAUUUGCAUACACAAUCAUUCAAUCAUUCACAUACAACGAAGAUUUUUUAAGUACCUGCAAUAGCCAGAUGCUGCAUUAGUCUAAGAAUGCAGAGGUGAAUCAGUGACACAGUCCUUGCCCUCAGGAAGCUUCCGGUUUGUGGGAAGAUCACCCUUACAGCACUUAUGGUCACAGUGCAGACUGUCAAGGGCAGCCUGGCCUGAUCUAGGACAUAAGACAUUUUUGUUCAAUGAUGAUUUAUUGUUUAUCUGUGAUACCGGCAUGAAAGAGAGAGAUAGGACUCGCUCAGGCCCCACUUACACAGAAAAAGCACAAACCAAGCUCUGAAAAAUCACUGCACACUGCAGUGGAGGGCCAGGAAGGAGGAAGGUGAGAACUGUGUAGCUGGAAACAGAGCUCCAGGCUCCCUGGGGUCUUGGCUAGACCGUCUCACACGGGGAGUCAGGCUGCUUUGCACCUAGCAGAGGUGAGCAUGAAUGAGGGAGCCCUGGCAGGACUGACGGGGAGCGUGGAAGUUGACUUGUGCUGUCUCCUUACUGCGGCUGCCAAUGCUGAGCCUGCACCCUGAGCUGCAUCCUCAGGCCCUGCCUCUGCACCUAUGGCUGCUGAGAAUCAGGGUGUUGACUCAAAAGGUCUGGGGUUCCAGGACCUGGAAGAACAUAAGAGCUGGUAGGGAGUGAGGAAUAGGGCAGGUGAGUGGGUGGAGGCCCACUGAUGCUUCCAGAGAAAAAAUGGCCAUCUUGCUCUGGGUCUAGUUCCUCAUCUAUGAAAUCUGCAGUCAGACAAGGAAGGCUCUCAGGGCACCUUGGCUUCUCUUCCUUCUGCAGUUGGAACAGGGAAAUGGUAGCAGGAGGCUCUGCAAAGAAACCCUGGCUCCACCCUCUGCCAAGGGACCCAAAUCAGUAUUUCUUGACAUUUUUCAGGAUGCUCUCAGUGCCAGUGACAUUUCUGAGACCUGCUCUCUGACAGGGCUGGAGAAUACAAGACUGACCCCAAAGCCACACUCCAGGCCCAGACCAGCUGUGAUCACAGGCCCCGCUUGGGAACAAGCCUUAUAUUCCAAAUAGCAGCAAAUCACCUCUCUAGCACCAGCCUCACUCAGAGAGCUGCAUCGCAUGUGGGGCAAGCGUGAGGCAGGUCUGGGGCCCAGAACCUUCUCUACCGAACCUCAGCAUCCUCCCUUAUUAACACCUUACCAAACGGAUCCCAUAAUCCCUGAUUCCUUCAGAGAGUACUUAUAGGCCUCCCACUGUACACAAUUGUGAGAAAGGGGAGGCAUGUCAUGAACUGUUGGUUGGUGCUCCAGUGUGAGGAGCUCUGAUGGGGACAUUAAACCCUGGGGGUGGGCGUGGAGUUUGAGAAGAUUAACUGUCCAAAAGCUGGUGGAACCAAGCCAGUUUCUGGCAACUUCACAGAUAGAAAAGAGUCACAGGGCAGGUAGAGGUUAACAGAAGGGAUCUGGGGAACAUUUUGAUGUUGCUGUUGAUGCUGAUAGGGGGCCACAGGGCUUUGGGGAGUGUCAGAACCAGCCCAUACAAGAAAGAGACCCCGACCCACACUCAGUAGUUUUACUCUUCAGUCUUAGGACUGGAAGGGAGGCCAGUUUAGAAACUAGGUCGAAGUAGUGGUAAAAUGCGGGUGGGAACCGAAUGAAGUAAGCCUGGCUCCACCGGUCACCAGUGUGUGGGUUUAGGCAAGUACUUAACCCCCCUGAGCAUCACUUUCUCCGCCUCUAAAGGAAGGUAACAAUACUGCGUACCUUGCAGGUUUGUUGGGAAAGUUAGAAAAGCCAGUGUUUGUGAAACACUUAGCUCUGGCUGCCACCUAAUAAGCUCUAAGUUGCCAGGAGGCAGAUUGGGCCUCUCUAAGAAAUUUUUCUGCCUUGGAUCAGUCUUAUCCACAAAAAGAAGAGCCUCGCUCCCCCAGCAAGCGUUUAAACAUUUAAAUGUGUGCCCGGCACCUAGUGUGCUCCCUGCUCAGUGUGGUGGUAAAGAAGAAGAAAAUGCAGUUUCUAGCUGGAGUCCUGAUUUGCUGAUUGUGUGAGCCUGCCCCAAUCUGAGUCUUUUCUUCCCCUUAAAUAUAAGAGCAAUCAAGCAAAGAUUAUGGAUCGGUGUUACGUAAUGUUUAUUUGGUACCAGAGUAACCACGAACAUCAUUUCCUAGAAGGAAGGUGGUGAAAAAAAGUCCCUUGGUGAGCUGAAGUCCAUCUGGGCAUUUCAAAGAGUGAGCAAAUUAGACAGGGUGUGUCUUUCCAUGCACUGUACCAUGAAGUGGACACCGCCUCACAUGUGUUCUAGCCACAAACUUUCAUUUGAAUCAUUCUUGCCCCUAAAUGAAACUUCUAGUUCACCGGAAACUCUUGCACAGUGUCACAAAGUAAAUAAGAGCAAGAAAAGUUAACUAGAUGGCUGCGAGGAAGGCUGUGUACAGGAAGCUGACCAGGAUGGUCCAGUGGGUCAGUGGCCAGAACUGCAGGAAGGCACCAUAUGAAACAAUCUGAUGCACGUAAUGAUCAGAUGCCACCCUUACACUGGUACUGAAAAACCAACCGUAAGCAACUUUUGAUGGAGUGAGAUGGGGAAAUUAAUCUGUGUAUUAAAAGAGAUGAACUUUUGCUGCAAUAGAAAAGGCAGAAGUUGUUGGCUAAAAAACAAGAGAUAAAGUAGUACGUAUAAUGUGAUCACAUUUUAGUUAAACGGUACUUAUAUGUAAGAAAAAGAACAGGCGAUACACAUUAAGGUAUUAAGGUAGUAAGAAAAUAAUGCUUUUACUUAUAUAUUUUUGGUUUCUGUAUUUUUAAAUUUUUCAUAAUGCUUCUGUAAUACAUGAAAUGUUAUUUAGUAAAUAAAAUAUAU